GUAGAUGAUUUAUAUUACUUGUGAUAUAAAUUUUGAACUUUAGUGAGUAGGAAGGUACAAUGGUAUGCGUAGAAGUGUUUGGCGUAAGCCUGCAUGGAGCUGCCAUUGGUACAGAUCUUGGUGGUAGUAGCAAAUAAUCGAAUGAGACCUUGGAGGACUGAAGUGGAGAAGGGUUUCGUGUGAACAGUGGUUGAUCACGAGUUAGUCGGUCCUAAGUUCAAGGCGAAAGCCGAAAAUUUUCAAGUAAAACAAAAAUGCCUAACUAUAUAAACAAAGCGAAUAUAAUACACUUGAAUAAUUUUGAACGAAAGGGAAUACGGUUCCAAUUCCGUAACCUGUUGAGUAUCCGUUUGUUAUUAAAUAUGGGCCUCGUGCUCAUCCUGGCAACAGGAACGACCAUAAAGAAGCCGUCGAGAGAUAUCGGAAGAGUUUUCUUUUCUGUUUUAUAGCCGUACUACCAUGGAAGUCUUUCGCAGAGAGAUAUGGUAGAUGGGCUAGAAGAGCAUGACAUAUACUGUUGUGUCGAUAUUUUCUCCUCGGACCUUGAAAAUUUAUGGUGGGGACACGCAAACUUCUCAACAGGCCGUACCAAUAUCCGCAGCUGGUCUCCAAGGUGAAGAGUCUCUAGUCGAUAGAAUAAUGUAGGUAAGGGAAGUCGGCAAAUUAGAUCCGUAACUUCGGGAUAAGAUUGGCUCUGAAGAUUGAGAUAGUCGGGCUUGAUUGGGAAACAAUAACAUGGUUUAUGUGCUCGUUCUGGGUAAAUAGAGUUUCUAGCAUUAUGUUAGUUACUUGUUCCCCGGAUAGUUUAGUUACGUAGCCAAUUGUGGACUUUCUUGCUAAAAUUUUUAAGAAUACUAUUGGGUUAAACCCAAUUAGUUCUUAUCAAUUAUAACGAUUAUCAAUUAACAAUCAAUUCAGAACUGGCACGGACUUGGGGAAUCCGACUGUCUAAUUAAAACAAAGCAUUGUGAUGGCCCUAGCGGGUGUUGACACAAUGUGAUUUCUGCCCAGUGCUCUGAAUGUCAAAGUGAAGAAAUUCAAGUAAGCGCGGGUCAACGGCGGGAGUAACUAUGACUCUCUUAAGGUAGCCAAAUGCCUCGUCAUCUAAUUAGUGACGCGCAUGAAUGGAUUAACGAGAUUCCUACUGUCCCUAUCUACUAUCUAGCGAAACCACAGCCAAGGGAACGGGCUUGGAAUAAUUAGCGGGGAAAGAAGACCCUUUUGAGCUUGACUCUAAUCUGGCAGUGUAAGGAGACAUAAGAGGUGUAGAAUAAGUGGGAGAUAUUAGACCUCGGUUUGGUAUCGUCAAUGAAAUACCACUACUCUUAUUGUUUCCUUACUUACUUGAUUAAAUGGAACGUGUAUCAUUUCCUAGCCAUUAUACGGAUAUAUUUAUUAUAUCUUAUGGUAUUGGGUUUUGAUGCAAGCUUCUUGAUCAAAGUAUCACGAGUUUGUUAUAUAAUCGCAAACAAAUUCUUUAAUAAAACGAUGCAUUUAAGUAUUUUUGAUUUGAAAAUUUGGUAUAACUCCAAUUACUCAGGAA
RNAcentral lists this non-coding RNA (1543 nucleotides) under Drosophila sechellia. RNAcentral describes it as "Eukaryotic large subunit ribosomal RNA". It matches the Rfam family "Eukaryotic large subunit ribosomal RNA", at positions 1333 to 2602 of the family's 3401-position model. Lineage: Eukaryota; Metazoa; Arthropoda; Insecta; Diptera; Drosophilidae. The record is from Rfam by way of RNAcentral.